CCUACGGGAGGCAGCAGUGGGGAAUAUUGGACAAUGGGCGAAAGCCUGAUCCAGCCAUGCCGCGUGUGUGAAGAAGGUCUUCGGAUUGUAAAGCACUUUAAGUUGGGAGGAAGGGUUGUAGAUUAAUACUCUGCAAUUUUGACGUUACCGACAGAAUAAGCACCGGCUAACUCUGUGCCAGCAGCCGCGGUAAUACAGAGGGUGCAAGCGUUAAUCGGAAUUACUGGGCGUAAAGCGCGCGUAGGUGGUUUGUUAAGUUGGAUGUGAAAUCCCCGGGCUCAACCUGGGAACUGCAUCCAAAACUGGCAAGCUAGAGUAUGGUAGAGGGUGGUGGAAUUUCCUGUGUAGCGGUGAAAUGCGUAGAUAUAGGAAGGAACACCAGUGGCGAAGGCGACCACCUGGACUGAUACUGACACUGAGGUGCGAAAGCGUGGGGAGCAAACAGGAUUAGAUACCCUGGUAGUCCACGCCGUAAACGAUGUCAACUAGCCGUUGGGAGCCUUGUAGCUCUUAGUGGCGCGAGCGUACGACGAUUAAGUUAGUACCGCCGUGGGGUAGGUACGGUUCCGGCGUAAGGUUAAACGUUACGUAAAGGAAGUUAGACGGCGUUGAGACGUUGCCGACGGACGACGACGAGGGGAGGAGG
RNAcentral lists this ribosomal RNA (646 nucleotides) under uncultured bacterium. RNAcentral describes it as "bacterial SSU rRNA". The stretch from base 1 to 549 matches the Rfam family "Bacterial small subunit ribosomal RNA", at positions 338 to 873 of the family's 1533-position model. The record is from RNAcentral.